Molecule: ribosomal RNA, 1175 nt
Filed under: Clostridioides difficile
Lineage: Bacteria; Bacillati; Bacillota; Clostridia; Peptostreptococcales; Peptostreptococcaceae
Description: partial 23S ribosomal RNA
Rfam family: Bacterial large subunit ribosomal RNA
Source: RNAcentral
AUUGAGGCAGUCAAAGUAGGCAAAUCCGCUUUGAUAAUGCUGGGAUGUGAUGGGGAGCGAAAUUUAGUAGCGAAGUAGCUGAUUUCACACUGUCAAGAAAAGUCUCUAUCGAGGUUAAAGGUACCCGUACCGCAAACCGACACAGGUGGGUGAGGAGAGUAUCCUAAGGCCAGCGAGAGAACUGUUGUUAAGGAACUCGGCAAAAUGACCCCGUAACUUAGGGAUAAGGGGUGCCACCAUCAGGUGGCCGCAGAGAAUAGGCCCAAGCGACUGUUUACCAAAAACAUAGGUUUCUGCUAAGUCGCAAGACGAUGUAUAGGAGCUGACGCCUGCCCGGUGCUGGAAGGUUAAGGGGAUCUGUUAGAGCAAUCGAAGCAGUGAACUUAAGCCCCAGUAAACGGCGGCCGUAACUAUAACGGUCCUAAGGUAGCGAAAUUCCUUGUCGGGUAAGUUCCGACCCGCACGAAAGGCGUAACGAUUUGGGCACUGUCUCAACAACAGACUCGGUGAAAUUGUAAUUCCGGUGAAGAUGCCGGAUACCUGCGACAGGACGGAAAGACCCCAUGGAGCUUUACUGUAGCUUGACAUUGGGUCUUGGUACUACAUGUACAGGAUAGGUGGGAGGCUUUGAAACCAGGACGCCAGUUUUGGCGGAGCCAUCCUUGGGAUACCACCCUUGUAGUACUGGGACUCUAACCAUAGGCCAUGAAUCUGGUCUUGGGACACUGUCAGGUGGGCAGUUUGACUGGGGCGGUCGCCUCCCAAAAGGUAACGGAGGCGCUCAAAGGUUCUCUCAGUACGGUCGGAAAUCGUACGUAGAGUGUAAAGGCAAAAGAGAGCUUGAUUGCAAGACAUACAGGUCGAGCAAGGAUGAAAAUCGGACUUAGUGAUCCGGUGGUUCUGCGUGGAAGGGCCAUCGCUCAACGGAUAAAAGCUACCCUGGGGAUAACAGGCUUAUCUCCCCCAAGAGUCCACAUCGACGGGGAGGUUUGGCACCUCGAUGUCGGCUCAUCACAUCCUGGGGCUGUAGUAGGUCCCAAGGGUUGGGCUGUUCGCCCAUUAAAGUGGUACGCGAGCUGGGUUCAGAACGUCGUGAGACAGUUCGGUCCCUAUCCGUCGCAGGCGUAGGAAAUUUGAGAAGACCUGUCCUUAGUACGAGAGGACCGGGAUGGACG